This 268-nucleotide ribosomal RNA is filed under the name uncultured bacterium. Its description in RNAcentral is "partial 16S ribosomal RNA". It matches the Rfam family "Bacterial small subunit ribosomal RNA", at positions 123 to 406 of the family's 1533-position model. The record is from RNAcentral.
AACCUAUCCCUAGGCGGGGGACAACCACUGGAAACGGUGGCUAAUACCCCAUGUGCUGAGGAGCAAAAGGAGGAAUCCACCCAGGGAGGGGCUUGCGUCUGAUUAGCUAGUUGGUGAGGUAAUAGCUUACCAAGGCAACGAUCAGUAGCUGGUCUGAGAGGAUGAUCACCCACACUGGGACUGAGACACGGCCCAGACUCCUACGGGAGGCAGCAGUGGGGAAUUUUCCGCAAUGGGCGCAAGCCUGACGGAGCAAUGCCGCGUGGAG